RNAcentral lists this ribosomal RNA (254 nucleotides) under uncultured bacterium. Its description in RNAcentral is "partial 16S ribosomal RNA". It matches the Rfam family "Bacterial small subunit ribosomal RNA", at positions 524 to 776 of the family's 1533-position model. The record is from RNAcentral.
UACGAAGGGGGCUAGCGUUGCUCGGAAUCACUGGGCGUAAAGGGUGCGUAGGCGGGUCUUUUAAGUCAGGGGUGAAAUCCUGGAGCUCAACUCCAGAACUGCCUUUGAUACUGAAGAUCUUGAGUUCGGGAGAGGUGAGUGGAACUGCGAGUGUAGAGGUGAAAUUCGUAGAUAUUCGCAAGAACACCAGUGGCGAAGGCGGCUCACUGGUCCGGUACUGACGCUGAGGUGCGAAAGCGUGGGGAGCAAACAGG